GAACGCUGGCGGCAUGCCUUACACAUGCAAGUCGAACGGCAGCACGGGAGCAAUCCUGGUGGCGAGUGGGCGAACGGGUGAGUAAUAUAUCGGAACGUGCCCAGUCGUGGGGGAUAACGUAGCGAAAGCUACGCUAAUACCGCAUACGAUCUAUGGAUGAAAGCGGGGGAUCGCAAGACCUCGCGCGAUUGGAGCGGCCGAUAUCAGAUUAGGUAGUUGGUGAGGUAAAGGCUCACCAAGCCGACGAUCUGUAGCUGGUCUGAGAGGACGACCAGCCACACUGGGACUGAGACACGGCCCAGACUCCUACGGGAGGCAGCAGUGGGGAAUUUUGGACAAUGGGCGCAAGCCUGAUCCAGCAAUGCCGCGUGCAGGAUGAAGGCCUUCGGGUUGUAAACUGCUUUUGUACGGAACGAAACGGUGAGCUCUAAUACAGUUUGCUAAUGACGGUACCGUAAGAAUAAGCACCGGCUAACUACGUG
Molecule: ribosomal RNA, 482 nt
Filed under: uncultured bacterium
Lineage: Bacteria
Description: bacterial SSU rRNA
Rfam family: Bacterial small subunit ribosomal RNA
Source: RNAcentral